Molecule: ribosomal RNA, 377 nt
Filed under: uncultured bacterium
Lineage: Bacteria
Description: bacterial SSU rRNA
Rfam family: Bacterial small subunit ribosomal RNA
Source: RNAcentral
CCUACGGGAUGCAGCAGUGGGGAAUAUUGGACAAUGGGCGAAAGCCUGAUCCAGCAAUGCCGCGUGUGUGAAGAAGGUCUUCGGAUUGUAAAGCACUUUCGACGGGGACGAUGAUGACGGUACCCGUAGAAGAAGCCCCGGCUAACUUCGUGCCAGCAGCCGCGGUAAUACGAAGGGGGCUAGCGUUGCUCGGAAUGACUGGGCGUAAAGGGCGCGUAGGCGGUUUAUGCAGUCAGAUGUGAAAUCCCCGGGCUUAACCUGGGAACUGCAUUUGAGACGCAUAGACUAGAGGUCGAGAGAGGGUUGUGGAAUUCCCAGUGUAGAGGUGAAAUUCGUAGAUAUUGGGAAGAACACCGGUGGCGAAGGCGGCAACCUGG